Molecule: long non-coding RNA, 865 nt
Filed under: Homo sapiens (human)
Lineage: Eukaryota; Metazoa; Chordata; Mammalia; Primates; Hominidae
Description: HSALNT0389803
Source: RNAcentral
CACCCACCCACUGCGCCUGCGAGCUGAGCGGCCACUAGCUUUUUCUGCGUGUUGAGGGGUAACUCAGUCACCCUCCCCGGUCCCGUGGAUUAGCAGGAAGAGCUGUGGAGACAGACCAGGAUGGCAAUGGCCAAAGGGACAGAUGAGUAACGGAGUGAAAUCCUAACAUCCUCUGAGGCCAGAUCCUCAGCUGCCACCUCCUCUGUGAAACCACUGAGAGCUCCGUUGGAUUUUUGAGUUUCCUGUCCAAGUGCUGUGCUAAGCACUCAGUCCUCGCAGCAACCCCUGAGGCAGGUAUCCCAUUGUUCAGAGGAGAAGCCAGCUUGGAGAGCCUGAUUUACCUGAUUAUGCCACCCAGAGGUGUCAGAGGCGGAGUCUGUCUGCCCUCCCGACUCCCAGGCCACUCCCCUAUCUUUGGCCUCACUCCCAGCAUUCGCUUGGUUCUGGCUUGCGGCAUUCUCCUACCUGUGACAGCUGGGGCCGCCCCACCACUGUUCCAUCCAUAAAGCCUCCCCGCUGUCCUGCGCACUGGAGGGACUCAGUCAGUCACCGGUGUGUGGGAAGCACCUCUCCUCCCAGGCCUUCCCCUCUCCUCCCUGUGACUUCUUGUUCCCUGUAGCGCCCGUAUCUUCACCCUCCUGAAACCCUUUCUUCUUGGCACCUUUCUCAUUUCUUCCACGAUGCUCUUCCAAGAAUGGGCAGGGGUGAAGAGGCAAAGUGACAGACUCAGGGUUUGCAAGAGUGAAAGACACCUAUUUAAUGGCAAAAUAGUGAUGGAAAGCAGCAGAAGUAAAACCCUCAUUUUUCCUAUAACAGACAAAUCGCUUGAAAAUCCAGUUUAAUAAAAUCCCAUGAUCCCUCUGAA